This 849-nucleotide ribosomal RNA is filed under the name Triticum aestivum (bread wheat). RNAcentral describes it as "partial small subunit ribosomal RNA". Lineage: Eukaryota; Viridiplantae; Streptophyta; Magnoliopsida; Poales; Poaceae. The record is from RNAcentral.
UUGAGACACACCGCAGAUGGAACGCAAUGGAGAAAGAUCGACAGAGAGUUCAAAGAUUUUGCAGCUGACGCAAGGAACAUAAGAUUUGGUCUAAGUACAGAUGGCAUGAAUCCUUUUGGCGAGCAGAGCUCCAGCCAUAGCACCUGGCCCGUGACUCUAUGCAUCUACAACCUUCCUCCUUGGUUGUGCAUGAAGCAGAAGUUCAUUAUGAUGCCAGUGCUCAUCCAAGGUCCGAAGCAACCCGGCAACGACAUCGAUGUGUACCUAAGGCCAUUAGUUGAUGAACUUUUACAGAUGUGGGGCAGACUUGGUGUCCGUGUGUGGGAUGAGCACAAAAAAGAGGAAUUUAACCUACGAGCGUUGCUUUUCGUAACCAUCAACGAUUGGCCUGCUCUUAGUAACCUUUCGGGACUGUCAAAUAAGGGAUACAAUGCAUGCACGCACUGCUUACAUGAGACUGAAAAUGUACAUUUGCCAAAUUGUAAGAAGAACGUGUACCUUGGGCAUCGUCGAUUUCUUCCGAAAAUUCAUCCAGUAAGAAAGAAAGGCAAGCAUUACAACGGCAAGGCAGAUCACCGGCCGAAGCCUACGGAACGCACUGGUGCUGAGGUAUUUGAUAUGGUCAAGGAUUUGAAAGUCAUCUUUGGAAAGGGUCCUGGCGGACAAUCAGUUCUGAAGGGAGCUGACGGGCACGUAGCCAUGUGGAAGAAGAAAUCUAUAUUCUGGGAGCUAGAAUAUUGGAAAGUCCUAGAAGUCCGCUCUGCAAUCGACGUGAUGCACGUUACGAAGAAUAUUUGCGUGAACCUCCUAAGCUUCUUGGGCGUGUAUGGGAAGACAAAUGAUACAAAG